AAUAGAUACCCGGAUAGUCCACGCCGUAAACGAUGAGUGCUAAGUGUUAGGGGGUUUCCGCCCCUUAGUGCUGCAGCUAACGCAUUAAGCACUCCGCCUGGGGAGUACGGUCGCAAGACUGAAACUCAAAGGAAUUGACGGGGGCCCGCACAAGCGGUGGAGCAUGUGGUUUAAUUCGAAGCAACGCGAAGAACCUUACCAGGUCUUGACAUCCCAUUGACCACUAUGGAGACAUAGUUUUCCCUUCGGGGACAACGGUGACAGGUGGUGCAUGGUUGUCGUCAGCUCGUGUCGUGAGAUGUUGGGUUAAGUCCCGCAACGAGCGCAACCCUUGUUCUUAGUUGCCAUCAUUUAGUUGGGCACUCUAAGGAGACUGCCGGUGACAAACCGGAGGAAGGUGGGGAUGACGUCAAAUCAUCAUGCCCCUUAUGACCUGGGCUACACACGUGCUACAAUGGACGGUACAAACGGUUGCCAACCCGCGAGGGGAGCUAAUCCGAUAAAACCGUUCUCAGUUCGGAUUGUAGGCUGCAACUCGCCUACAUGAACG
This 550-nucleotide ribosomal RNA is filed under the name uncultured bacterium. RNAcentral's name for it is "bacterial SSU rRNA". It matches the Rfam family "Bacterial small subunit ribosomal RNA", at positions 777 to 1325 of the family's 1533-position model. The record is from RNAcentral.